UUCCCCUAGUAACUGCGAGUGAAAAGGGAAGAGCCCAGCGCCGAAGCCGCCGUCCACAAAGAAGGGCGGAGGGCAAUGUGGCGUUAAGGGAGAGCCUCUUUGACCAGACGUUUCGUUGAUCGGACCGCGGAAGCCCGAGUCCCCCUGACCGGGGCCACGGCCCAUGGCGGGUGCAAGGCCUCUUCGGCUUCGUUCGACGGUUCGGAGGUUGCUGGCUCCUUCCCUCAGAGUCGGGUUGCUUGAAAGUGCAGCUCUAAGCGGGUGGUAAACUCCACCUAAGGCUAAAUACAACCAUGAGACCGAUAGCGAACAAGUACCGUGAGGGAAAGUUGCAAAGAACUUUGAAGAGAGAGUUCAAGAGUACGUGAAACCGCUCGGAGGCAAACGGGUGGGCCCUCGAAGGUCGAACGGGGGGAUUCAGCCUGUCGGCGUCACGGUUCGUCCGUUCCAGUUGAAAAGCACUCGUGCGAAACGGAUCCCUUCGGGGACCGGGCUGCGGACUCGAACUCGCGCCGGCUCGUGCACUUCCCCCUUAGUAGGACGCCGCGACCGGUCGGGUCAAAAAUCAAAAAAAGUCUUGCGGCCAUGAGGCGAGAUAAACCAUGGGGCAGGUGUCCGUUUCCGUCAGGGUCGCGGCGCGGUUCGUUCUCUCUCGGGGGGGCGGAUUUAGCGUCGCGGCCCGCGGUCGGAGUUAUAGCCUCUUCUCGACCCGUGCACCGCCACCCGACCGACAAAUGGUCACGAAUCCGUUGACGCGUGCCCGCGUAACACAAAAGCGCUCGCCCUCGUCCUGGGCAGGCAGGAUGCGCGAGUAAAAAUUCCUCUUCAACCGGAAACGGUGAGGGAAUCCGACGGACGCCGGUACAAAAAACCACAAAGGCGGCCGUUGGCUCCGCGUCUGCCGCUGGCCCACGGGGAAUCGGGAUCUGGCGUGGAGGCAUCGCUCGCGGUCGGCGGCGAGNNNNNNNNNNNNNNNNNNNNNNNNNNNNNNNNNNNNNNNNNNCAUGUACGCAAGUCGUAGGGUCUGCUUCCAAAAGAGCUAAACCCGACGGCGAAAUGAAAGUGAAGGCCGCCGAUCCCCCCUCUCUGGCUUAGCUGGCGCCCCACUCGUGGGUCAACGCUGGCGGCCACUGCUGGGCUGGGUGAGGAACAGAACGGCCGAGGCGAGAUCCUAAUUUAAGAACAUGAAAAAAAAGCCUAAAUGGAAACCGGGCAUUGAAGGAACGUCCAUCCGUUGCGCUCGGAUCCCUCACGGGAGACGAGAACAGCACGGGGGCGGCCCGGGGGCGCAUCGCCGGCCCGUCUCGAUCGCUGCUCCUCUCGUAUCAACUCUGCCGACGCAACCGGGCUCUGGCCGUGCGUUUUUCUCGUGGUUACGGCUUCUCGGAGCUAGUGCCGCGAGGAGACCGCGGUCUACGAAGCACGGCUCUGCCAAGCGGGGGCGGGGGAGAAACCAGUCGGCGAGGCGGAGCAAGAGCGUACACGUUGGGACCCGAAAGAUGGUGAACUAUGCCCGGGCAGGACGAAGCCAGAGGAAACUCUGGUGGAGGUCCGCAGCGAUUCUGACGUGCAAAUCGAUCGUCGGACCUGGGUAUAGGGGCGAAAGACUAAUCGAACCGUCUAGUAGCUGGUUCCCUCCGAAGUUUCCCUCAGGAUAGCUGGCGCUCGGGAACCAGUCUCAUCCGGUAAAGCGAAUGAUUAGAGGCAUUGGGGCCGAAACGGCCUCAACCUAUUCUCAAACUUUCAAUGGGUGAGAUGUCCGGCUUGCUCGAACAAAACCGCAAACUUCUUUUUUCCCGGGCAACCGGGAAUUAGGAGAUCAAUUUGCGGGAUUGAAGCACGGACAUCGGAUGCGAGUGCCAAGUGGGCCACUUUUGGUAAGCAGAACUGGCGCUGUGGGAUGAACCAAAAGCCGGGUUACGGCGCCCGAUGCGGACGCUUAUCAGACCCCAUGAAAGGUGUUGGUUGCUAUUGACAGCAGGACGGUGGCCAUGGAAGUCGGAAUCCGCUAAGGAGUGUGUAACAACUCACCUGCCGAAGCAACUAGCCCUGAAAAUGGAUGGCGCUCCAGCGUCGAGCCUAACCCCGGCCGCCGGACAGGCAGAGACAAAACAAAACGCCGGCUGCGAACACACAAACACGCACGUCCGAGCGAAAAAAAUCGAUGCCCCGGCGAGUAGGAGGGUCGCGGUGGCGAGCGUUGAAGGGAACGGGCGCGAGCCUGCCUGGAGCCGCCACCGGUGCAGAUCUUGGUGGUAGUAGCAAAUACUCGAGUGAGAACCUUGAGGACUGAAGUGGAGAAGGGUUCCAUGUGAACAGCAGUUGAACAUGGGUCAGUCGGCCCUAAGGAAUAGGGGAAACCCGUUCCGAAAAAAACCGGAAAUCAUAAAAUAAUCCUAAAGAACAUAAAUGACCGGUAAAAGACCGAAAGGGAAUCGGGUUAAUAUUCCCGAACCCGGAUGCGGAGAUCGACCCUCGCGGGUCUGAAGCGGCAACGCGUAACGAACUCGGAGAUUGCCGGCGGGGGCCCCGGGAAGAGUUUUCUUUUCUUUGUAAAGGACGCACUCCCUGGAAUCGGCUCGCCCGGAGAGAGGGAUAUUGUUCCUGUAAAGCACCGCGGCUCUUGCGGUGUCCGGAGCGCUCUCGCCGGCCCUUGAAAAUCCGAGGGAGUGAACAAUGAUUUCCGCACCGGACCGUACCCAUAUCCGCAGCA
Molecule: ribosomal RNA, 2713 nt
Filed under: Clinopodes carinthiacus
Lineage: Eukaryota; Metazoa; Arthropoda; Chilopoda; Geophilomorpha; Geophilidae
Description: partial 28S ribosomal RNA
Rfam family: Eukaryotic large subunit ribosomal RNA
Source: RNAcentral